ACUGCAAGCUCCGCCUCCCGGGUUCAAUCGAUUCUGCUGCCUCAGCCUCUGGAGUAGCUGGGACUGCGGCAGUCACAGAAAGGGGUGGCUCUAAGAACCCAACGCAGGCCAGGCUGGAGGCAGGAGUCAAGGCCGGCUGCCGUAGGGCUCAGGAUGUCCAUCCGACCGUGACGUCAGCACUCAUUGAUGAAAGGAGAGUAGGACCAUUCCCAGAGUCUUGCUCUGUCGCCCAGGCUGGAGUGCAGUGGCGCGAUCUCGGCUCACUGCGACCUCUGCCUACCAGGUUCAAGUGAUUCUCCUGCCUCAGUCUCCCGAGUAACUGAGAUUACAGCUCUGGGACAAACCAGCUUCUAUGUCAUGAGUACACUCAGGCAGCUCACUGGAGAGAUCUGCAUGGUAAAGCAAUGAGCCUCCUGCCAGUAGCCAUGUGGGGGGCAUCUUGGAGCCAGACCCUCCAGCCCCAGUCAAGCCUUCAGAUGCCUGCAGCCCUGACUGACAUUUCAACCACAAUUUUAUGAGAGAUUCUGAGCCAGAAUCACCCAGCUAA
This 547-nucleotide long non-coding RNA is filed under the name Pongo abelii (Sumatran orangutan). RNAcentral describes it as "lincRNA". The record is from RNAcentral. Lineage: Eukaryota; Metazoa; Chordata; Mammalia; Primates; Hominidae.